This 253-nucleotide ribosomal RNA is filed under the name uncultured bacterium. RNAcentral's name for it is "partial 16S ribosomal RNA". It matches the Rfam family "Bacterial small subunit ribosomal RNA", at positions 524 to 776 of the family's 1533-position model. The record is from RNAcentral.
UACGUAGGGUGCAAGCGUUAAUCGGAAUUACUGGGCGUAAAGCGUGCGCAGGCGGCUUUGCAAGACAGAUGUGAAAUCCCCGGGCUUAACCUGGGAACUGCAUUUGUGACUGCAUGGCUAGAGUGCGGCAGAGGGGGAUGGAAUUCCGCGUGUAGCAGUGAAAUGCGUAGAUAUCUGGAGGAACACCGAUGGCGAAGGCAAUCCCCUGGACCUGUACUGACGCUCAUGCACGAAAGCGUGGGGAGCAAACAGG